This 1441-nucleotide long non-coding RNA is filed under the name Homo sapiens (human). RNAcentral describes it as "non-protein coding LINC00836:11". Lineage: Eukaryota; Metazoa; Chordata; Mammalia; Primates; Hominidae. The record is from RNAcentral.
ACAGUGAAACGAGCUUGCAUGAGAGCAUCCCAGGACCACUGAACAUUCAGAGGUCUAUUUCUGGCAUCUCUUUCCACAGCACAGGCAGCCUUGCAGAAUGAAAAGUAUUUCUCCCACCUGCCCUGGCCUCUGCCCUGGCUCUGAAAGAGGCAGGCUGUGAAUGAUGGUUGUCAGUGUCUGGAGUUUUCACUGAAAAACAGUCCCCUGAAAUGGAAAGACACACAGAGGGGAGUGAUCUCAUCGCCACUGAUUUUUCCCAACUUUCAGUUUUGUAUCUCCAUGGUGGAACUCGAUACAGCAGCAUCCCUCAGUGGUUCCAGCCCAGAAGUGCAAGGGGAAGCCGGCUGCCUGUUCAUGAAUUCUGUAGCUCAAAAAGCAGAGGCCGAGAAAGCAAAAUUUCAAACCUUUGUCAGAAAGGGUGAGACCUUGCUCAGCACGAUAGCUGAGAACAGCUUCCUCCUUCAAUGCUGGUCUCUCUAUACUGACAGUUGACAGCUGAUGAUCCCACAUUCUCAGUCAUGCGAAUGACCUCACCUGAGCACCAGUUUGUAACGGAUGUUUAAGAGGAAAGCAAGGGAAUUAAAUGCUGCACAGGAAUUUGGCACUUCUGUAUAGAAAUAGAAAAACUAAAUGAAACUUAUAGUACCUUCCACUCAACUAAGAUUCUUGUGAAGCAAAGUAUAUCUGGGAAAAUAUAGUAAUAUGGUUAUUUUGUGUUCAUAGUGUGUGACUCUACUUAUAAGCACUUUUUAAUCAUUAUAAUCAAUCACUUUAAAGAUCUUAGAGGGAACUUAUUAAUCAAAAUUUAAGCCUUCUUUAAAAAAAAAAAACUUCCCAUAUACUAAUUUUGCACAGAAGCAAAAGAUUAGAUUGGGAUUCUGCCUGUUGUGGAGAGACAAAGACAAGAGUGCUCCAGAUUUCUGUGUUUGUGUUUUUACUUCAUACUUUCAAUGCGUCCGCAAGAAUAGACUUGUGUUUCUCUUCUUAAUACACAAUGGUUAGAGCUCACAGAAUGUAAGUAAGAGAUUCUUUGAAUUGCACAAUAAGCCAAGGAACUUUCCCAGCUACCGGGAGGCUGAGGUGGGAGGAUUGCUUGACCCCAGUGGGUGGAGAUUGCAGUGAGCAGAGAACACAUCACUGUCACUCUAGCUUGAGUCACAGAGCAGGACCUUGUCUCAAAAAGCAAACAAAAAGCUGGGUGCAGCAGCUCAUGCCUGUAAUCCCAGUGCUUUGGGAGGCUGAUGUGGGAGGAUCACUUCAGACCAGAAGUUCGAGGCCAGCCUGGCCAACAAGGUAAAACCCUGUCUCUACUGAAAAUACAAAAAAUUAGCCAGGUGUAGAGUGGCACAUGUCUGUAAUCCCAGCUACUCAUGAGGCUGAGGCACCAGGAUCACUUGAACUGAGAAGGCAAAGGGUGCAAAGAAACAAACAAACAAAACAC